This is a non-coding RNA of Pelobates cultripes (western spadefoot toad), 292 nucleotides long. The record is from the annotation of a GenBank genome assembly. Lineage: Eukaryota; Metazoa; Chordata; Amphibia; Anura; Pelobatidae.
UGGUAUUUCAGUGCUUAGGGGCCCUUUGUGGGGCUAAUUACAUGGGACAAGCUAGCACAAGCUAAUUUCUAUAAGUAGAAAAUAGUUACUGCCUGCUAUUGGCAUUUCAUCUUUUGGGGUAAAAGUAAACUAAUAAGUGAAUAACGAACACUGCUAAACACAUCCUAAUUGCCACCACUAGCCAUCCCCCCAUCCCCACAUCCUUAUUAAUAUCAAGGUUAUUAAAAACUCUCUGCGGGGCUGAAGCAGUUAAGAAAAUAGAAGGAAGUUUGAUAAAACACCCACGUUUGGC